UCGAGGAUCUUCCGCAAUGGGCGCAAGCCUGACGGAGCGACGCCGCGUGUGGGAUGAAGGCCUUCGGGUUGUAAACCACUGUCACCGGUUAUGAAAGGAUCUGGUGUUAAUAGCGCCAGGGACUGACAAAGGCCGGAGAGGAAGCCACGGCUAACUUCGUGCCAGCAGCCGCGGUAAGACGAAGGUGGCGAGCGUUGUUCGGAAUCACUGGGCAUAAAGCGCACGUAGGCGGCGGCGUAAGUUGGAUGUGAAAUCCCUCGGCCUAACCGAGGAACUGCGUCCAGUACUGCGUUGCUUGAGGAUCAAAGGGGUGCAUGGAAUUCCCGGUGGAGCGGUGAAAUGCGUUGAUAUCGGGAGGAACUCCGGCGGCGAAAGCGGUGCACUGGUUGAUUUCUGACGCUGAGGUGCGAAAGCCAGGGGAGCAAACGGGAUUAGAUACCCGUGUAGUCC
This 450-nucleotide ribosomal RNA is filed under the name uncultured bacterium. RNAcentral describes it as "bacterial SSU rRNA". It matches the Rfam family "Bacterial small subunit ribosomal RNA", at positions 355 to 796 of the family's 1533-position model. The record is from RNAcentral.